UAGGGAAUCUUCGGCAAUGGGGGGAACCCUGACCGAGCAACGCCGCGUGAGUGAAGAAGGUUUUCGGAUCGUAAAGCUCUGUUGUUAAGGAAGAACGAGUAUGAGAAUGGAAAGUUCAUGCUGUGACGGUACUUAACCAGAAAGGGACGGCUAACUACGUGCCAGCAGCCGCGGUAAUACGUAGGUCCCGAGCGUUGUCCGGAUUUAUUGGGCGUAAAGCGAGCGCAGGCGGUUAGAAAAGUCUGAAGUGAAAGGCAGUGGCUCAACCAUUGUAGGCUUUGGAAACUGUUUAACUUGAGUGCAGAAGGGGAGAGUGGAAUUCCAUGUGUAGCGGUGAAAUGCGUAGAUAUAUGGAGGAACACCGGUGGCGAAAGCGGCUCUCUGGUCUGUAACUGACGCUGAGGCUCGAAAGCGUGGGGAGCGAACAGG
Molecule: ribosomal RNA, 429 nt
Filed under: Bacteroidota bacterium
Lineage: Bacteria; Pseudomonadati; Bacteroidota
Description: Bacteroidetes bacterium partial 16S ribosomal RNA
Rfam family: Bacterial small subunit ribosomal RNA
Source: RNAcentral